Molecule: long non-coding RNA, 84 nt
Organism: Zingiber officinale
Lineage: Eukaryota; Viridiplantae; Streptophyta; Magnoliopsida; Zingiberales; Zingiberaceae
Exons: 3
Source: RefSeq, a predicted model, not a curated record
UCUCUAUAGAAUGUCUUCCAACAAGGAUCCUGGGGCCCACCCAAAUGAUUGUCUCAGCAUGAAAGAGCACACAGCUCUCUUGCA